GAUGAAUACGCAAUUUCUACUCAUUUUCUUUGUUCUUAGCUUUCUCAUCAUGUGUGAGUUAAUUAGUCUAUUAAUCCCCUAAGGAUUUGAACUUGUGUGUUUGUGUGUGUGUGUAUAUAUAUAUAUAUAUAUAUAUAUCCGGUNUUUGAUAAAAUUUAUUUAAAUUACAAUCUAAAAUAAAAUAUAUUCUGAAAAAGAUUUACAAAAUUGUUAUAUCACCGUAUAAUUCUAUAUUUUCUAUAAAAUUUAAAAAUUAUAGCCGAUCAAUCUUUUAAAUCUUAGUUUUCGGAAAAUCUCCGUUUAAGUGUUAUAUUUCCUCUGACACGUUCGUGUAUGCAGCUAUUGAUGGGAGCAACAAUGGCAAAAAAAAAAUCGAAAUUGCAAUGAUGAAAACCAAAUCAAGUAAAGUAAGUCCACCACCAUCUAUUCUAGAUUCUGAUGACACAUUUCAUGAUAACAAGUUGAGGGGUUUUUGUAUGCCAAGUCCGUCAACAAGAUGCCAUGGAACAAGAAAAAGUUGUUACUGUUGUAUUGGGCCACAAGAAGUAAUAUGCAUAGAAGGCUAUGAG
RNAcentral lists this long non-coding RNA (569 nucleotides) under Lactuca sativa (garden lettuce). Its description in RNAcentral is "long non-coding RNA (LSAT_LNC000410)". Lineage: Eukaryota; Viridiplantae; Streptophyta; Magnoliopsida; Asterales; Asteraceae. The record is from RNAcentral.